GUAGGGAAUAUUGGACAAUGGGCGAAAGCCUGAUCCAGCAAUGCCGCGUGAGUGAUGAAGGCCUUAGGGUUGUAAAGCUCUUUUACCAGGGAUGAUAAUGACAGUACCUGGAGAAUAAGCUCCGGCUAACUCCGUGCCAGCAGCCGCGGUAAUACGGAGGGAGCUAGCGUUGUUCGGAAUUACUGGGCGUAAAGCGCGCGUAGGCGGCGAUUUAAGUCAGAGGUGAAAGCCCGGGGCUCAACCCCGGAAUAGCCUUUGAGACUGGAUUGCUAGAAUCCUGGAGAGGUGAGUGGAAUUCCGAGUGUAGAGGUGAAAUUCGUAGAUAUUCGGAAGAACACCAGUGGCGAAGGCGGCUCACUGGACAGGUAUUGACGCUGAGGUGCGAAAGCGUGGGGAGCAAACAGGAUUAGAUACCCGGGUAGUCC
Molecule: ribosomal RNA, 425 nt
Filed under: uncultured bacterium
Lineage: Bacteria
Description: partial 16S ribosomal RNA
Rfam family: Bacterial small subunit ribosomal RNA
Source: RNAcentral